Molecule: ribosomal RNA, 254 nt
Filed under: uncultured prokaryote
Description: partial 16S ribosomal RNA
Rfam family: Bacterial small subunit ribosomal RNA
Source: RNAcentral
ACGGGGGGGGUAAGCGUUGUUCGGAAUUACUGGGCGUAAAGAGUUGCGUAGGCGGCAUUGUAAGCAGGUAGUGAAAGCGUGUGGCUCAACCAUACUCGCAUUACCUGAACUGCAAAGCUAGAGGACAAGAGAGGUCACUGGAAUUCCUAGUGUAGGAGUGAAAUCCGUAGAUAUUAGGAGGAACACCGAUGGCGUAGGCAGGUGACUGGCUUGUUCCUGACGCUCAGGCACGAAAGCGUGGGUAGCAAACGGGA